Molecule: long non-coding RNA, 972 nt
Organism: Lolium rigidum
Lineage: Eukaryota; Viridiplantae; Streptophyta; Magnoliopsida; Poales; Poaceae
Exons: 4
Source: RefSeq, a predicted model, not a curated record
UCUCAGUGGUGGUACCGGCAGAUAAGACAUGAAGCUGCAUGAGGCUCUACCAGAGUCUUAUGCCAUUCCUCUGGUCGCAUAUAGUGCACAGCCUUUGAGCGUCUUACAAGUACGAGCAUGCGACAGCAAGCUUCUGUCAGGAGACUUGCGCUUUAUUUCUUAAUGAUCUUACCAUUCGCUUUAUUUCUUAAUGAUCUUACCAUUCUUUUGAGACCGCAUAUAUUUUAACGGCGUGUUUUCAUUAUAAGUGGAAAUCUCUUUAUUGUUACUCUGUUGGACAAGCAUGCAGAGAACUUUGAUGAGGACUCUGUCCGUGCAAGUUCAUCGCAGGGCUGUGUCAGCAUAUUAUUUGUAGGCAUGGCUGUUGCUUACUACUCAGGAAACUGUGCUUCAAAAGCACAUCUCUAGCCCGUUCGUACAUAAACAUUCCCAUUCCGGAGGUAUUUGAUAUACAUGCCAGAUACGGGAAUCAGCCAUAUGAAGUAGAAUGGCACGGAUCAGAUGCAAGGGCUGACCCUGUUGAGAUAACAUUGUAUGCUUUGUCCAAAGAAGAAAGAGAUUUCACUAUGGUAACCUUUUAAAAUUAUUGAUAAAAUAAAACAUGGAAAUAGCAAAGAUGCGUUGUGCCUGCUUAUCCCUAAACAUAUCAAUUGCAUUGAUAAUAUGCAGGAAAAGUACUAUAAGAUGACAUUUAUUGCCACAGAGGUCGAGAAUUCUGAUGGCUGUUGUUCACGACCUGCAAGGUAUGCUGGAAAAAUAUCCCUAAUGGAAAUGCUUACAGAUGCACCUACAACUGCUUCUGCAAAGAAGAGAGGCAUGGAUUGUUUGCAGGUAAUAUUGGUAAGCCGACAUUGCCAUCAGCAAGAAACACAAAAAACUGCAUUGUCUACAGAAAAAUCUUCCAUGGCUUCUCCAUCUGGCGAAUCACCAAAUACAACAGCAGAUAGCAGAGCUUUAGGCGCCAUACCAAGC